Molecule: ribosomal RNA, 207 nt
Filed under: uncultured delta proteobacterium
Lineage: Bacteria; Deltaproteobacteria
Description: partial 16S ribosomal RNA
Rfam family: Bacterial small subunit ribosomal RNA
Source: RNAcentral
CGUGUAGGCUGCCUCGCAAGUCGGAUGUGAAAGCCCUGGGCUCAACCUAGGAAGUGCAUUCGAUACUGCGAGGCUGGAGUCCUGGAGAGGAAGGCGGAAUUCUCGGUGUAGAGGUGAAAUUCGUAGAUAUCGAGAGGAACACCGGUGGCGAAGGCGGCCUUCUGGACAGUGACUGACGCUGAGACGCGAAAGCGUGGGGAGCAAACA